ACUCCGUAGGUGAACCUGCGGAAGGAUCAUUAAAAAUGAAGCCGGGAAACCGGUCCUUCUCACCCUUGAUUAUCUCAAUUUGUUGCUUUGGUGGGCCGCGCAAGCACCGGCUUCGGCUGGAUCGUGCCCGCCAGAGGACCACAACUCUGUAUUAUAUGUCGUCUGAGUACUAUAAAAUAGUUAAAACUUUCAACAACGGAUCUCUUGGUUCUG
Molecule: unclassified non-coding RNA, 213 nt
Filed under: plant metagenome
Description: partial contains small subunit ribosomal RNA, internal transcribed spacer 1, and 5.8S ribosomal RNA
Source: RNAcentral